GAAUUCAGCCUUUGAUGCGGUAAGAGCAUAAAUUUUAGGGAAGAUUGUUGAUUUGGAACCCUAUAAAAGGAGAGCUAUUCUGAUGUAUUUUGGGGCAGAUU
This is a long non-coding RNA of Ipomoea nil (Japanese morning glory), 101 nucleotides long. RefSeq lists it as uncharacterized. NCBI's taxonomy places the organism in Eukaryota, Viridiplantae, Streptophyta, Magnoliopsida, Solanales, Convolvulaceae. The record is from RefSeq and is a predicted model, not a curated record. The transcript is spliced from 3 exons.